Molecule: long non-coding RNA, 4615 nt
Organism: Ailuropoda melanoleuca (giant panda)
Lineage: Eukaryota; Metazoa; Chordata; Mammalia; Carnivora; Ursidae
Exons: 2
Source: RefSeq, a predicted model, not a curated record
GUGCGAGCCGCCCGCCUUCCCGCGCCCGCCCUUAGGGCGCGGAGGGGCGCACCGUGCGUGUCUACGCGGGCCGCGUGGGGCACCGCCGGGUGAGCGCGCCCCCGAGCAGGCGAGCCCUGGGUCCCCCGGGGAGAGCUGGGGAGAAGGGGUCAUGGUCAAGCCUGGGAGAGAAGAGCCAAGUGCUGUGUGGACUUGAAACACGGGGGCUCGGAGCGUGUUAGGCCCCAAACUUUCGGGCUGUGUUUCUCAACCUUUGUGUGACCCCUACCCCCCACAGCUCCCCGCCCCCCCAGGACCACACCCCCACUGUUAAAUUGUAAUUCCACAGAUAUACCGUGUAUCUGCAUUUGCCGAACGUUUACCUGUGCUUGCUCUUUCAAAAAAAGGAUUCAGCCCAGCCGGUAAAAGGAAGACACAUUCAAUUCAAUAAACUCGCACACAGCAUCUUCUUCUGAAAGUACUUUGCCAAGGACUGGUGAACACGAGAAGUCAUGGGUUCUCUUACAGGAGUUUUCGGAGGUAGAUAUAUUCUCAACCAACUGUAAUACAAGGCAGAAUGUGGUAAGUACUAUAAUAGAAGUGGAAGUGCUAAGUGGACCAGGAGGAAGAAUUUAUUAAAGCUUAUGGGAUCUGGGAGGACUUCACGGCAGAAUGAGUUCUGGUGAGAUAGGUGGGAUUUUGUCAGGUAGACGUGGGAGGAGGAUAAUUUGUGUGACUACGAUGCAGGGCACACAGGACGAGAGGGUGAGGGUCAAGGUGGGCUGCCUCCAAGACGGCGCCCGAUGACCCCCACCUCCUAGUACUUGUGCUCUUUUGGAGUCCUCCCAGCAUUGUAUCGGGGUUGGUCUGUGUGACCAAUGGAAGAUGGUGGAAGCGAUGGUGCGUGGCUUCUAAGACUGCGUCACAGAAGACGCUGCCACUUCCCUGCUGCUUUCUGGAUUGCCUGCUCUGGGGGAAGCCAGCUGCCUGGGCACUAGCCCACGUAGCAGCCUAGGGAGAGACCUGCCUGGAGAAGGAACAGAAGUCUCCCGCCAAGAGCCAGCCCCAACCUGCCAUCCGUGUGAACGAGCAGCCUUGGAACUUGAUCCCCUGGCACCAGGCCAGGCCUUCAGGUGACCACAGUCCCAGAGGACAUCGUGACUGAAACUCUCCGAAGACCUUGAGCCAGAACCACUCAGCGAAGACGGUCCUGAAUUUCUGACCCACAGUAACUGCGAGAUAACAAGUGUUUUAUUGGUGCUUUAAGCCUCUAGUUUUGGGGACAAUUUGUUAGGCAGCAAUUGACACACUGUACAGAAAUGAAGGCUUGGGGACGAGUUUGGGGGAAACCUUGAUUUUCAAGGAGCUGUACUUGCGUGCAUUGGGGGCGCUGUUUUUUGUUUUGUUUUGUUUUUUAAUGUAAAGAAUGAUGUUCUGAUGCUGUGCGUAAUCUAAGUGGGCAAAGGGAGUGCUGGGGCAGGAAGAGAGGCCACCGCAGUGGUCCAGACCGAGAGGUGAUGAGGGAGCCUAGGUGGAGGCCCCGUGGGGGUGCGGGUGGGGGGGAUGGAAGGAGGGUGCAUCAGUCAACACGGGGAGUGAGGGCCAAGAGGCUGCAGAGGCGACUCCUCGGCUCUGAGCACGGGAACAUGGGAGCUGUGAUCUCAUUUACCCAAAGGGGAAACACAGACGUGAGCACCGGUUUGGGGGCCGGGAUGGGUGGGGAUAAAGAAGCGGGGCGUCUGUCUCCUAGCGAGGAGCGCUCCCGGUGCUCCGAGCUCCGCAGAGGGCCGACCAGCAGGCUUGAGCACAGAUCGGGCUGGUUGAGAAAUCUCUCCCUAAAGGACAAGGCUGUUCCAUUUCACAGCACAUCUUCCUCACUGCCAAGUGUUCCCUGGUGACAGCCUCUGCCAUCGCUAUUUUUAGCAUGUGGCCUUUCGGAGCCUGAAGAGCGGCAUCCACUUCCUGGAGCUCCUUCUCCAGCUGACAGCCGGUGACCCGCGCAGGGGGCAGCUUCAGCGGGGCCUGACAAGCCAGAGCCUGUCGCAGCGCCAAUCUGCCGGGGGAGAGGAAGUCAGACCCCAAGUUUGAGAGAAAGCCUCCAUCUCAUCCCCUUCUGUUCUGCUGCGGAGGCCUACAACCUCAGUGCCAAUCAGAAGCUGGAGAGUAAAAAAAGCCUCUUCAGGAAUCCCAAGUGGAAGGAAGCUUCUCAUGCCAUGUUCUUAUGUGACAGCUAUAUCGAGCCUGAAGGUAACACCUGGCCAGGCAAUGGCAGAAAAGCACCAGGACGUAACGUAUUGCUUUUGUAGAUCCUAGAACAGGCCUGAGAGAAAACCUAUUGGGAUUCGUAACAUGUUCUUUUUUUUUUUUUUAAAGAUUUUAUUUAUUUAUUUGACAGAGAUAGAGACAACCAGCGAGAAAGGGAACACGAGCAGGGGGAGUGGGAGAGGAAGAAGCAGGCUCCCAGCGGAGGAGCCUCAUGUGGGGCUCGACCCCAUAACGCCGGGAUCACGCCCUGAGCCGAAGGCAGACGCUCAACCGCUGUGCCACCCAGGCGCCCCCCGUAACAUGUUCUGAUGCCUCAAAUGGAGCCAGAUUUGGGGCAAAGCAAGAAAGCACUGAGGGAGACUUGAAAAGGGUAAAGCAUUUCUCAGAUGGGGGUCUGCAGUCCCUGGCCGAGGCUGGGGGUAUAAGAAUACACCUGACUGUCCUCCAGACUUGUAAGAGUUCUCUGCAAGAAUUUCAAAAUUGUGUGUUUCAUGGUUACGGUAAGCUAAACAGAUUGGGACGCGCACAUUCGGUGCUGACUGACUGGCCCCCUAAUGGAGGAAUAAUAUCUUGCCACCUCGGGACCCAUAGCCACAAAUGUGGUUAUGAUCAUUUUGAUGCCAACUGGCAUUUUUGUUUUUUAAUUUUUUAAAAGAUUUUAUUUAUUUAUUUGACAGAGGAGAACAAGAGAGACAGCAUGAGCUCGGGGGGUGGGGAAGGCAGAGGGAGAAACAGACUCCCCGCUGAGCAGGGAGCCCAAUGUGGGGCUCGAUCCCAGGACCCUGGGAUCAAGACCUGAGCGGAAGGCAGACGCUUAACCGACUGAACCACCCAAGCACCCCUCCCCCACAAGUGGCAUUUUUAAAGGUGGUUGCAGACUAAUGGAAAAGACAAGGAUGGAUUUAGUCCAGAACAAAGCAUUUGUGUCACGUGAGGACCAUGUGACAUCUUCCUGCCCUGUCUGAAGGAAGGUAGGUAGCAGCCGCUCAAAGCAGGAAUGCCAGCAAAGCUGCGGGGGCCCAGGUGGGGCCACCUUCUUGGUGUGAGGAUUAGAGUUCAGCAAAACAGCGUCAUCUGUCGCUCUGAACUCAUGUGGUCCCUGGACUUUGGGGGUUUUGAAGAAAAAGAGCCAUUCUUCGGGGGACUGUAAUCACCGUGCCCAUCACUGUCAUCACCAGCACCAUCAUGGAAGCAUUUACCUGGCGUGUGCCCUCGGAGCGGCGGCAGGGCUAGUGUAGGAGGUGGUGGCCGUUCCUUCUCCGUGAGGACUGCGUGGGUGUGGAGGAUGUGUGGGCAUCAGAAGACGAUGGUCUGCUGCUUAUGAGGUGAGGGCCCCACAUAAGUCUACCCUGGGUGCUGUGGAGGGACAUAAGUCUACUCUGGAAGGACAACCGCAGGAUUUUCUUCCUGGAGCCUCGAGUGGGCUGGGCUGGCGGGGAUAGAGGAGGAUUUGGGGCGAAGACUAUGUAUGGUGGCUAGUACCAACUGGGCAAGGCAAGAGAUCCUCCCCAGGAGGUUCCAUGUUGUGAAAACUGCCCUGAGCUAACACCAAAUCACCGCGUAUGUGGACAUGUGGGUGCCGGAUGGGAACAGAAGCACCAGGGGACCUCAGAAGGAGUCAGAGCCCCAGGAAUAACCCCCACCUUCUCCCUUAGCAAAUCCAACUCUUCUUUCAGGGGCCUCUUGGAACUUCAAAGCUUUGGGUACAUUUGAUUGACAUACCCCGUUUCCUGGCUGUGAGUCUGCAAAGCUGGUCCCAAGAUGCCUGGAACGUCUGGUAGCUCACCUUCCCUUGGGCCUCAGUCUCCCCUCAGUAUUAACCACCUGUGUCCUGUUUCCAUGCAACGUGACUUGUGUACAAACCUCGCCAACUACACAGGGAAAUCCUUUAGCCAUGUGAUUAAUGCAAUUAAAGGUAUGUACUUCUGAAGACUGAAGGACUCGUGGACGGAGGUGGUGCCGUGCACCAUGCUGCUUGCUGUUGAGUCUUCAUUUUCCCGGUAUUAUCUUGGUAUUUUUACCUUGUUUUUCCUUCCUGAAUCAGGAUGGAUUGCAUUUGGCCACAUUAACAGAAGCCUGACUGCAGGGGCUCAACCAAAUAGGCAAUUUUUUGUUUUUGAGAUACUGUUUGUAAAUGUAAAUCCACACAUUUUAAGUUUACAGUUCAAUGGGUUUUGGAAAAGGUACCGUAGCUCCUAAAACCACCCCAUCAAUUACAAGACAUUUUCAUCACCCUAGAAAAUGAGCUCAUAUUCCUUUCUGGUGAGUCCUGACCCUGUCCCCCAGGCAACCACUGUUCUGAUUUCUCUCUCACCAUAGCUUCAUUUUGCUGUUUCUAGAACUUCAUUUAAAUAAAACAACACAGUGUGUA